RNAcentral lists this ribosomal RNA (492 nucleotides) under uncultured bacterium. RNAcentral's name for it is "partial 16S ribosomal RNA". It matches the Rfam family "Bacterial small subunit ribosomal RNA", at positions 29 to 507 of the family's 1533-position model. The record is from RNAcentral.
AGUGAACGCUGGCGGUAGGCCUAACACAUGCAAGUCGAACGGCAGCACAGUAAGAGCUUGCUCUUACGGGUGGCGAGUGGCGGACGGGUGAGGAAUACAUCGGAAUCUACUUUUUCGUGGGGGAUAACGUAGGGAAACUUACGCUAAUACCGCAUACGACCUACGGGUGAAAGCAGGGGAUCUUCGGACCUUGCGCGAUUGAAUGAGCCGAUGUCGGAUUAGCUAGUUGGCAGGGUAAAGGCCCACCAAGGCGACGAUCCGUAGCUGGUCUGAGAGGAUGAUCAGCCACACUGGAACUGAGACACGGUCCAGACUCCUACGGGAGGCAGCAGUAGGGAAUAUUGGGCAAUGGGCGCAAGCCUGAUCCAGCCAUACCGCGUGGGUGAAGAAGGCCUUCGGGUUGUAAAGCCCUUUUGUUGGGAAAGAAAAGCAGCAGGUUAAUACCCCGCUGUUCUGACGGUACCCAAAGAAUAAGCACCGGCUAACUUCGUG